UACGUAGGUGGCGAGCGUUGUCCGGAUUUACUGGGCGUAAAGAGCGCGCAGGCGGUCGUUCAAGUCGCGUGUGAAAGCCCCCGGCUCAACUGGGGAGGGUCACGCGAUACUGAUCGACUCGAAGGCAGGAGAGGGUAGUGGAAUUCCCGGUGUAGUGGUGAAAUGCGUAGAUAUCGUAAGGAAGACCAGUGGCGAAGGCGAAUCUCUGGACAGUUACUGACACUGAGGCACGAAGGCCAGGGGAGCAAACGGG
RNAcentral lists this ribosomal RNA (253 nucleotides) under uncultured bacterium. Its description in RNAcentral is "partial 16S ribosomal RNA". It matches the Rfam family "Bacterial small subunit ribosomal RNA", at positions 524 to 776 of the family's 1533-position model. The record is from RNAcentral.